Molecule: ribosomal RNA, 439 nt
Filed under: uncultured bacterium
Lineage: Bacteria
Description: bacterial SSU rRNA
Rfam family: Bacterial small subunit ribosomal RNA
Source: RNAcentral
GACAUGGGAAGCUUGCUUCCUAUGAAAUCGAGUGGCAAACGGGUGAGUAACGCGUAAACAACCUGCCCUUCGGAUGGGGAUAACAGCCGGAAACGGCUGCUAAUACCGAAUACGAUCUUUUCGUCGCAUGACGGAAAGAAGAAAGGAUGGCCUCUAUACAAAGCUAUCGCCGAAGGAGGGGUUUGCGUCCGAUUAGCUGGUUGGAGGGGUAACGGCCCAACAAGGCGAUGAUCAGUAGCCGGUCUGAGAGGAUGAACGGCCACAUUGGGACUGAGACACGGCCCAGACUCCUACGGGAGGCAGCAGUGAGGAAUCUUCCGCAAUGGACGAAAGUCUGACGGAGCAACGCCGCGUGAGUGAAGAAGGUCUUCGGAUUGUAAAACUCUGUUAUACGGGACGAAAAAGACGGAUGCCAACAGUAUCCGUCCGUGACGGUACC